Molecule: long non-coding RNA, 1113 nt
Filed under: Fragaria vesca (wild strawberry)
Lineage: Eukaryota; Viridiplantae; Streptophyta; Magnoliopsida; Rosales; Rosaceae
Description: long non-coding RNA (FVES_LNC005074)
Source: RNAcentral
UUACUUUAGUAGGCAUGUUAUGAUUUCGAUGACUAAAAUUCACAAAAUGAAAAUUGACCGUAUGAUGUGAUCAUUAUAGUGAAACAUGACUAUGGUAUAAAAUUCAACUGGAUUUAACAAUGUUCGGGGCUCGAUCAAAGCGGUCAACCCUAAUUCAUAUUCAUUUAUCACACGAAAACUAUCUUACCUACCUCUUUGUGUACCUAGUUUGGUGGAUUCUUCAACACAAUAAAGUCUCACAUAGAUGAGAUUUAACCACCCAUGUAAAACUUUGGGGACAUUUACCACCCGAGGAUAGGGCUCUCCUUAGUGAAGCAUAAACGUAAAUAGGGUUGACCGCUUCGAUCGGGGCCCAAACAUUGCCAAAUUAAAGUGAUUUUUCUACAGUAGCCAUAUUUUACUAUACCGAUCACAUCCUAUUUCACAAGAUUUUUGAAAAUUUUGCUUCCUCUAUAUAGUUGGUUCACAAAAUUGUACACUAGCAUAUAACCUACCAAACAAGUUAUACCACAUUAGUAGGUACGUUGUGAUUCCAAUGACUAAAAUUUAGACGCAGUUGUGAAGUGGGUCCCGCCAGUGGUUUGUGACAUUUUUCGGUGAAUUUUUCCGACACUAGAGCUAUUUUCUAUGCAUUUUUAAAGUUUUGAAAUGGUGGAAAAAAAGUAAAACUUUAAUGACAUGGACAGAUUAGUGACUUAGGACGAAUGAGGUCGCAACAUGUGGCAAUUAGUGUUGAAUUUUCAGAAAAGGAAUCUCCCGAAAUGGAAACUUACCAUACUUUUUAUAGUAGAUUUCCAUAAAUAGUAACUUUUGUUUUUAAAGCAUAACUAUCCCCCCAAAAUGGAAACUUACCCUUCCUUUUAUAGUUGAUUUCCAUAAAUAGUAACUUUUGUUUUUAGAGCAUAACUAUCCCCCCAAAAUGGAAACUUACCAUUCCUUUUAUAGUUGAUUUCUAUAACUAAUAACUUUCGUUUUUAGAGCAUAACUAUCCCCCCCAAAAUGGAAACUUACCCUUCUUUUUAUAGUUGAUUUCCAUAAAUAGUAACUUUCAUUUUUAGAGCAUAACUAUCCUCUCAAAAUGGAAACUUAGCCUUCCUUUUAUAGUUGAUUUCC